GUCGGUGGUUUUACCCAACUGCCCGUACAAGGUGGGGGCUGAGUGGCUGGGGAGGGGGGCCGGAGGCCGGAGAGGAAGGGAGCCGCUCUGUGCGGGGAGUCGGAGCUCCAGUCUCCUGGCGGAGGGGUGCAGAGCCUGGCCUCCGCCGCUCACCGCCCCGCGGGCCAGCGCAGAGCGGGCCUUCGGGGGAUCGGGGAAGCCCUCUCUCCCUGGGGUAUUUCCCACACCAUCAGCCCUCGGCUCGAGGUUGAACUUGGCCCUGGUCUGCCGCCCGUUGAAAAUAGAAAAGUUGGUAUCCAAAGUUAUCCAGUUCUGGAAACCCGUGUGCGCUCCAGACUUUUGGAGGGAGUGUGGGCUUUGGUAUUAGAGACUACAGAACUGAGUUUCACUCUUGGUUUUGCUGCAUGACCUUGGUCGAGUCACGGACUUGCGGACUCCUCCACACGGAGGGGCUGGUGCCUGCCUGCCUUUCCGGAUGUGGGAAAGAGCUAAGCGGAUGCCAAGUGCACGGGAGUGCGAAUUCGUUUGUGGAUCGCUCUCUUCCUGCCCAGGGGCGAUGUGUAGGAAAGGAAGGAGAAAGGAAGGGGAGAGGUGGGGGCGUGGCAGGGCGGAGCCCGGGAUCCACCAAGUAUCCGAACUCCCGGACCUGAGGGCGGAAGCCGUGGCUCUCUGCUGCCCUCCGGCGGGCGCUGCACUCCCCAGGUGUCCUCACCAACCCCCAGCUGAGACCGCGGGAAGAGCGGGCUGCUGUGAACACCAAGUUCCUCAGUUCGCCCGGUGCUUUAGGAAAUCCAGCCCCGCUCCACGCCUGUUUGGACCUAGAGUCUGAAAAAUGGUAGCUUCCAUUUAUGAACCUCUGCCACCCACUCGGUCAUUCGUUCGACAAAUACUGAACGGGUGAUGCUCCCCAGGCACAGAGCUCGGCGCCCGGGUGGGGUGGGAAAUCCAGCGUGCACGGCCGGCCGAGGGUCCUUCUGGAGCUGGCGUCCGUGAGCCAAACCUUUAGGUUUACUUGUAAUCCUUAAGGGCUCCCCCUGGGCGUUUCUCUUCCCCAUUUUACAGUUCAGGAAACCGAGGGCUAGAGGACGGACUGGGGAAGACGCACAGGUGGAGCGCAGGCCUCCCGGAUUCUAGCAGAGGCUGACGCAGCCUAACGCACGGUUCCAGUGGAAACGGAGGAACCAGACAAGAGUGCCCUUGGAAUUCCACAUCCCAAAGAAACGCCUCUAGGACUCCUCCCCAAGGGUGUCCCAAGGCUCUUCAGAUGCAGCGCUUACAAAGCUGAAGUAUCAACCUUCCCCCAAACCUGCCCUUCCUUCAAGCUCCCCGUCCUAGGGGCUCAGUCCAAAACCCUGGUCUAGACCGGAAUCUUCCUGGGCCAUUGCUGCGCAGUCUACCAACACACCUUGGCACUGUGCGCCUUUCUCACCCCUCUGCUCCACUGCCCCCAGGCUGGCCAUGCCAUUGUCCCUUUCUCCUGGACUCGUGAUGCCAACCAUCAAUAGAGUGACCAUCUCCACUCUGUCCUCCUCCUAUCUCUUCCCCCCAUUCAGCUACCAGAGUGGUCAUCUCAAGAUGGACAUCAGGGCCUGCUUUUCCCUUGCUCACAACCCCUAGUGGCUCUCUGACUCGACCCUGGUUAUGUUUGCCUGGAUUCGACGACAGCCGUCCAAUUUCCUUUGUGGAACGCCUUGCUCCUGCCAGCCUCAGGCCAGUGAUUUCGGAGAUUUGGGGAUAUAACUGGUCAAUCACCACCAAUUCCUCUUUUCCCACUGCACACCACCCCUCCACUGCCACAGGGAUUGGUUCAAGAAUGGGUACCAGCUGGGGGCCAAGACAAUGACAGACCUCCAUGAGUGGCCCUGGGACAAGCAGGAAAGAGGCACUCUCUUUCACUAUGGUAGCUAAAUGGCCACCCUGCCACCAUGUGGGGACAGCAAGCUGGAGAAUGAGGUUAUUUCUUGAGAAAGCAAGACGAGUAAAUAGCCCAAGUCCAGUUGACAAUGUUAUAUGCCUUGACCCAGCUGUGCCUGAUGGCACAGCUAAACCCGUAUCUUUCAGUUACAGGAGCUAAUAAAUCCCCCUACUGUUGCUUAA
Herpailurus yagouaroundi (jaguarundi) is the source of this 2097-nucleotide long non-coding RNA. RefSeq lists it as uncharacterized. The record is from RefSeq and is a predicted model, not a curated record. The transcript has 2 exons. Lineage: Eukaryota; Metazoa; Chordata; Mammalia; Carnivora; Felidae.